Molecule: ribosomal RNA, 64 nt
Filed under: uncultured bacterium
Lineage: Bacteria
Description: partial 16S ribosomal RNA
Source: RNAcentral
CGGACAAUGGGGGGGAACCCUGAUCCAGCCAUGCCGCGUGAGUGAAGAAGGCCUUCGGGUUGUA